GAAGGUCUUGUGGCCCUUCGGCGUCGCCCUGCGGUGGGAGAUGUCAAACCGCCCCGAGCUGCGUCGGUUGAAGACCGUCGUGGUGAGCGUCCGGGGAAAAGGCGCCGGUCAGGCGUCAGGU
This is a non-coding RNA of Actinobacteria bacterium OK006, 121 nucleotides long. The record is from Rfam. NCBI's taxonomy places the organism in Bacteria, Bacillati, Actinomycetota, Actinomycetes.